Molecule: long non-coding RNA, 588 nt
Filed under: Homo sapiens (human)
Lineage: Eukaryota; Metazoa; Chordata; Mammalia; Primates; Hominidae
Description: HSALNT0371048
Source: RNAcentral
GUAUCAGCCACUGUAUGCAGCCCCCUGCUCUUAAAUAGAGCCUCAUGAGAGAAACAGUCCCCUUCCCAGCUGUGGACAUAGUUACGUGAGGAUGUGAUAGAGGCUGUGACAUGCUGAGAAAUACAGCCAACCUGCUGCAGAUGGCAGAGAAAAAGAACUUGACCCUUAAUGACAUUCCUGAGCCAUUCACAACACUGUUGGCUGAUUGUGGAGGCUAAAGCAACUCUACCUUGCCAGCUUAUCCACCAUGUGGACUUCUAAUUAAUCUCAGUUGCCGGAAUGCCUCUAAGAUUUCUACGUUAUCUACUGUGAAGAGCAAGUAAUUACUGCAAAUCCUGCCCUUGGGUCAAAACAACCUUGAUGACAUAUUCCUUCUGAAGCACAUAUACUCUUUCCCUAGCUGCCUGCCCUGCAGACUUCAGGCUCCAGCAUCAGACACAGAGACCCAGCGUUAUGGAGACUGUCUAACCAGAUCUCACAAUUGUGGAAGAUCCCAACUCCUACAGAAAUCUCUUAAAAACCACGUGUGGCUGGGCACAGUGGCUCAUGUAUGUAAUUCCAGCACUUUGGGAGGCUGAGGUGAGUGGA